CCUACGGGAGGCAGCAGUGAGGAAUAUUGGUCAAUGGCCGGAAGGCUGAACCAGCCAUGCCGCGUGAAGGGCAGGGCCCUAGGGGCGUUAAACUUCUUGUGUGCGGGAGCAAGAAUGGUCACGUGUGACCAGACGAGAGUACCGUACGAAUAAGCAGCGGCGAACUCCGGGCCAGCAGCCGCGGUAAGACGGGGGAUGCAAGCGUUAUCCGGAUUUCGUGGGGGUCAUGGGUGCGUAGGCUGUGAGGUAAGUCAGCGGUGAAAGGCCCCCGCUCAACGGGGGGAAGUGCCAUUGAUACUGCCUUGCUGGACUGCGGAUGCCGUGGGAGGAUUGUGUGGUGUCGCGGU
Molecule: ribosomal RNA, 347 nt
Filed under: uncultured bacterium
Lineage: Bacteria
Description: partial 16S ribosomal RNA
Rfam family: Bacterial small subunit ribosomal RNA
Source: RNAcentral